UGGGCCUUCUGCACCUUUACAGGGUCUUGC
RNAcentral lists this non-coding RNA (30 nucleotides) under Rattus norvegicus (Norway rat). The record is from RNAcentral. Lineage: Eukaryota; Metazoa; Chordata; Mammalia; Rodentia; Muridae.